This is a non-coding RNA of Oryza sativa Japonica Group (Japanese rice), 3140 nucleotides long. The record is from RefSeq and is a predicted model, not a curated record. NCBI's taxonomy places the organism in Eukaryota, Viridiplantae, Streptophyta, Magnoliopsida, Poales, Poaceae.
AUUUUUUUUUCCUUUUGUUCUGGUUCUUUUCUUUUUAUUUUCUUUUUUUUCCUGUGCAAUCCGUUUCCGGUUCCGUAUGUUUUGCCACGUGCCGUGUACUGAUGGGCAUUGAGAACAACCAAUCAUUUAUUAAGAAAUCACAGAUUGGACCGUUGCAUCAUAUCUAUCAUUGAUUUACAAUCAAACGGCUGAGGGAGGCCUGUGAAUACGUGGCACAUCAUCAAUCAAUAACUCCCCUAACCAUUCCUUUUUCUUCGGUUUUUCAAUUUUUUCUGGCUAUCUCAUUUUUUACACGUCUUCGUUUUGUGUUUAAGGCUCCUCGUGCGCGCGAAUGUGACUGGUUGUUCGCGGUUCCCACGGUCAUUUCUCUGUUUCCAUAGACAUGUAUCCCCUUCGUGUCCGGUGUGAUUAACAAGGAAUGGGCGGUUGAGGCAUGCAUGCAAGCCACACGCACCCCACUUGUUUUUGCAGAAAAAACCUAAUACUCUAAGAAAUCUUGAAGCAAUCCUUCCACCGUUUUUACCUUACUACACUUUUUAAUGAAAGCCCCAUAUACUUCUGAGAAAUAUAACACGAAAAAGAGAAAAUUCUGUUUUCAGGGAUGGCACUGUAAUCCAAGGAAAUACAAGGGUGUUUUUGCAAAAACACAUCCAAAUCCUAUCUCCUGCCUACCCAUCCCAACGCCGCCCGUGGACCGGCGCCUCUCGCCCUCCUCCUGCCAUCGCCGCAACCGCUGUUUCAGCAUCUCCUCCUGGUGGCUGGCGGCGCUGCCCACCUAAGCGAGGCUCCCCUCCAUGCCGUGAAGGCGGCGACAAGGCAGCAGGGCCGCACGCAAGGCCAGGACGGCCGCACGCGGCUACUUCGGCUGGGGUUGCAGGGAGAUGACGUGGUCGGCACCGACCACCCAUGCCCCACGGCGGCGUCGGCCCUCCCCCUAAUCCUCCAGCACCAACCUUCCCCCUACCCCUUCCCUCUGGAGGCGAAGUCCUGCUUCGCCGUCGUGGAACUUGACGAUGGCCACAUAGGCGGGGAUCGGGGAGGCCGCGGUGGCACAGGAGUCGACGAGGUUGGUGGCGGCGGAGCACGAGACUGCGGUGGCACGGGUGCCUUCCGCCGUCCCUCUUCCGUGGCAAAGGAGCGCAUAGGCAUGGCGUCCGUCGGAGCCGACGCCCCCUUGUCACGAUUCUAGGUCUUUCUCGCGAAGGAUUUGGUCACCAAGGAGAAUUCGAGAGAGAGAGAGAAUCGAGAGGGAUUUGUUGAGGAAGAAGAGGAAGAUAGAGGAGGAAGACGAUAGAAGCAGCAGAGAUAUUCGAAUUGAGUUUCUGUUUGUUGAUUAUAAUAAUACGCCUUCUCUCUAUCGCUGCUGGCCUAUAUAGCAAUACGCUAUCAAGCCUCACUCACUAGCCGUGGCCCAGCCGAUAGUUACUGGGUCCACUCACUCGCUGGAAAGCGCUUGUCGGGCUGUCAUUAACGAAUGGGCCGACCCCCCGUUCGGCCCAUUGCUUCGUGAUUUGAAUUGCCCGGUUCUUGAGCUGCUGCUGCCGUCGUGACACCCCUUCACCACAGGCCACAUGUGGUGGCAAAGGGGUCUGCUGCAGCAGUGAAAUCGGCCGCUCGACCGCCGCCCGUCGUCUCCCCUCUUCUUCUACCCCCUGUGGCGGCAAAAGGGCAUGCUGCAGAGCCGCCGAGAUGCAAGUCCGUCAGCGGUGGCAGCAGCGGGGCUGGCGUAGGUGUCCCCCUCCCCCGCGGCCACGUCUGGGCCAGUGGCGGUUUGGGGACCGUCGCCGGUGUCCCCCUUCCUCCUCCUCUCUAUCCCCCCGCGACGGUGUUGUGGCCGGUGACGAUGUUGGAGCCGAUGCCUGUGUCCCACUCUCCUCGCGGCGGCGUUGUGAUCCGCGGCGGCGCUGUGUUGUAUAAUUUACCUAUCAUUAUUGAGUAAUCAUAGUACUUAGACCAUAGUUAGUCAUUCGUCGUUGUUGCAUGUACAUGUUAUUCAUGAUCAUCACAAAAUGAUCUUUAGUCAAAUCAUGAAUUCUUUGGAAUGUGUGAGAUCGGUUGUAUUGUACGAAUUGGUACUUUCUAGCAGUCAGGCAAAGUACUUUCUUGUGAAUCUGGAUGAUAACAUGAGUUUGAUUAUCUUAUUGUCCUUCUUUAUCUUUUGUGUGCUUUCUGCUGUGUUCUUAAAGAUGAUGAAUUUACUCUUAACGAUGGUCAUUAUCCAUCUCCCUUUAUCUCCCUGUCAGCAUUUCACGUUCAUAGUAUUGAACGCAAUCGGUUGCUUGCUAACUAAUGAAAGUUCGGUAUUUUUGUUCCAGGGUUUUUCUGUCCUGCACUAGCGAAAGCUGUCAAGAUCAUGAAAAGAAGCCAUAAUGAUGGCACAAUAUUUUCGAAGAAGGGAUAUGAUGAACAGUAGCCAUUUGAUUUCAAGACCGAUGAAGAGGAGGCUAUUGAGAUUUUUAUUGGGAGUCAGAGCAAAGUAUUUUAGAGCCACCUUCAAAGAACGUUGUCAGCUGCAGCACUGGUGCUGUAAGAUAAACAAUGGCCUUGUGAUUCCAAAAGAUGUUCUUUGAUGGACUUAUUCAUUUGCUACAACAAUCAAGUUUAUAGCAGGGACCUUCUAUAAUCCUACCAAAGGCACCCUUCAAUUCAACAAUUUGAAUCAGCCAAUGAAAGCCUAUUAUAUUUGUUGAGCUUAAUUAUAACAAGUAAAGAAUCUUGCUGCAUGGAUUCAGAUGGUAUUGUAUUUUCUGUGCUGCCCUGAAGGCCAGAUGAAGUUAUUGCUAACCAGACAGAACAGUUACUAUCAUGAAGUUUUCCUGGGGCCACAUGAAGACCGAGUGCAUGUUGAUUCUUAUCUGGGUUAUGUUCGACUCGGCCCUCACCGUGAAGAUCAUCCUUGGAAUGCUGCUCACCGUGAUGGGUAUGGUGGUAUUCAUGCAUAUUAGCGAUCUAUAUUAUCUUUUUUUCAUGCAAAAUAUGCUAUGCUACACAUGGAUUUAUCUCUCUUUAGACCAUUGUACUUUAGUUCACAAAGCUUGACUUAAAUAUCGUUGUCAAUCUUUCUUCUUUUUUGCAGCUUUUUUACUUCUUCCUCCUUUAGUCUUAAAUUGCGUGUGGUCCAAUCACAUAGAAGGUUGAUA